GACGAACGCUGGCGGCGUGCUUAACACAUGCAAGUGGAGCGACGAACCGGGCUUCGGCCCGGGGCAAAGCCGCGAACGGGUGAGUAACACGUGGGUUACCUGCCCCGAUGACUGGGACGAACCCGGGGAAACCCGGGCGUAAUACCGGAUGUGCCCUAAGGGGGAAGGAAGCUUCGGCCUCCGCAUCGGGAUGGGCCCGCGGCCCAUUAGCUUGUUGGUGAGGGUAACGGCCCACCAAGGCUUCGAUGGGUAGCUGGUCUGAGGGGACGAUCAGCCACACUGGGACUGAGACACGGCCCAGACUCUACGGGAGGCAGCAGUGGGAAGUCUUGCGCAAUGCGCGAAAGCGUGACGCAGCAACGCCGCGUGGGGGAAGACGGCCU
This 383-nucleotide ribosomal RNA is filed under the name uncultured bacterium. RNAcentral's name for it is "bacterial SSU rRNA". It matches the Rfam family "Bacterial small subunit ribosomal RNA", at positions 28 to 417 of the family's 1533-position model. The record is from RNAcentral.